GGAUGUGACUGCAUCUGGCUGAGACAUCUAUCACCCGUUGAUCAACCGGGUUGAUUUGGCUGCUCUGGCUGGCUAGGCUGGCGUCCUCUCCCACUGCCUCUCGGUGACCAAACCUCCCGAAGCUGCGCGCUCGGAGGAAGGAGACGCCACCCUGUGAAGGAGGAAUGUUCCCUCUCCCUAGAUCAAGAGUGCUUGAGUAACUGCUUUCCCUCCUCUAAACACGCCCUCGGGGUCCCUGACAGCUAAGUAGGAACAGGAGCCAGAGCCACACACAUCAGGGAGCCCGGGAAAUGAAUUACAGGGGACUGACUUCUUCGCUGGGUGUCUUUCUGU
Cavia porcellus (domestic guinea pig) is the source of this 333-nucleotide non-coding RNA. Lineage: Eukaryota; Metazoa; Chordata; Mammalia; Rodentia; Caviidae. The record is from Rfam.